This 455-nucleotide long non-coding RNA is filed under the name Nicotiana benthamiana. RNAcentral's name for it is "long non-coding RNA (NBEN_LNC022136)". The record is from RNAcentral. Lineage: Eukaryota; Viridiplantae; Streptophyta; Magnoliopsida; Solanales; Solanaceae.
CCAAAGCUUGUAACAUGGCUGGUGUCCCCCUUCUGUGCAAAGGUAACCCUUCUUUGUUUUAUCAACCAAAUUCUUAUUGGCUGAACAUUUUUGUGAGUGUGGUUAUUGAAUGUUGAGCAAAUUGAUUUGGGCACUAACUCUGACUUGUAUUACUACAUUGCAGCAUCUGCUUCCCCAAUUCCAGCUCCAGGUACCAAAAGUAACUCUGCUUCUUUAAUUUCGCACUAGCAUUUCCUGAUUUUAGUAACACAACAAAAUAAAAAGAAGAUUAAAAUCUUCAAUUGCCAAAAUACUGGGAUUAAUAAAAGCUUCUGGCUGACAGGUCCAGCUGCCUUAGCACCAACAAAAUCUCCUAGAUCAUCUCAAAGGCCUAGGUCACCCCCAUCUCCUAGUCCUGAAGGUAAGUAGAACUCUGAUUUUUCUGGUGAAUUUAACUGAACUUGCUGAAUUCUGAG